This 65-nucleotide transfer RNA is filed under the name Aiolopus thalassinus tamulus. RNAcentral describes it as "tRNA-Thr". It matches the Rfam family "tRNA". Rfam says of the family: Transfer RNA (tRNA) molecules are approximately 80 nucleotides in length. Their secondary structure includes four short double-helical elements and three loops (D, anti-codon, and T loops). Lineage: Eukaryota; Metazoa; Arthropoda; Insecta; Orthoptera; Acrididae. The record is from RNAcentral.
GUUUUAAUAGUUUAAAAAAAACACUGGUCUUGUAAACCAAAAAUAAGAAAAAUACUUUUAAAACU